This 229-nucleotide ribosomal RNA is filed under the name uncultured bacterium. RNAcentral describes it as "partial 16S ribosomal RNA". It matches the Rfam family "Bacterial small subunit ribosomal RNA", at positions 568 to 796 of the family's 1533-position model. The record is from RNAcentral.
UGCGUAGGCGGACUAAUAAGUCAGUGGUGAAAUCCUGCAGCUUAACUGUAGAACUGCCAUUGAAACUGUUAGUCUUGAAUUUAGUUGAGGUAGGCGGAAUGUAUUGUGUAGCGGUGAAAUGCAUAGAUAUAAUACAGAACACCGAUUGCGAAGGCAGCUUACUAAGCUAUAAUUGACGCUGAUGCACGAAAGCGUGGGUAGCGAACAGGAUUAGAUACCCUGGUAGUCC